UGAUGAGAGGGCAACCGGCUCUGACAUCUGUCACCCCACUGAUCACCAGGAUUCAUUUGGCUGAUCUGACUGGCUAGCAAGGUGUCCCCUUCCUCCCUCACCUCUCCGGGUGUGUCUCUGCUGAAGCUGUGAAGCAGCAAGCUCUGAGAGGAGGAUAACCACCCUGAUGGAGGAGGACCCGUUCCUCAGUCAAGGGCAUAUAGUAGAUGCAUCCCCCUGCUAGAACCUCAAAUAAGUUCUCAAAGAAGAACAUGAGACCCUUGGCGUACAUAGAAGAUGCAAAGUGUAAUAGAGAACAACAAAUUAAUGAUAGACAUAGGUAGUUGAGUCAU
Molecule: small nuclear RNA, 332 nt
Filed under: Octodon degus (degu)
Lineage: Eukaryota; Metazoa; Chordata; Mammalia; Rodentia; Octodontidae
Description: 7SK RNA (ENSODEG00000024179.1)
Rfam family: 7SK RNA
About the family: 7SK was discovered as an abundant small nuclear RNA in the mid-70s but a possible function has only recently been suggested. Two independent studies have found that 7SK RNA binds the CDK9/cyclin T complex (known as elongation factor P-TEFb).
Source: RNAcentral